ACGGAAGGCAGCAGUGGGGAAUAUUGCACAAUGGGGGAAACCCUGAUGCAGCGACGCCGCGUGAGUGAAGAAGUUAUUCGUAAUGUAAAGCUCUAUCAGCAGGGAAGAAAAUGACGGUACCUGACUAAGAAGCCCCGGCUAACUACGUGCCAGCAGCCGCGGUAAUACGUAGGGGGCAAGCGUUAUCCGGAUUUACUGGGUGUAAAGGGAGCGUAGACGGUCUGGCAAGUCUGAUGUGAAAGGCAGGGGCUCAACUCCUGGACUGCAUUGGAAACUGUCAGUCUUGAGUGCCGGAGAGGUAAGCGGAAUUCCUAGUGUAGCGGUGAAAUGCGUAGAUAUUAGGAGGAACACCAGUGGCGAAGGCGGCUUACUGGACGGUAACUGACGUUGAGGCUCGAAAGCGUGGGGAGCAGACAGGAUUAGAUACCCUGGUA
RNAcentral lists this ribosomal RNA (434 nucleotides) under uncultured Lachnospiraceae bacterium. RNAcentral describes it as "bacterial SSU rRNA". It matches the Rfam family "Bacterial small subunit ribosomal RNA", at positions 341 to 792 of the family's 1533-position model. Lineage: Bacteria; Bacillati; Bacillota; Clostridia; Lachnospirales; Lachnospiraceae. The record is from RNAcentral.